CCCAAGCGAUCCAUCCUAGCUAACUACAGUCCAGUCAGAUCCAUUGAUCGAGAGCUAGAGAGUAAAUUUCCCAACCAUGGCUUGCAAGAUGAUCGUAGCUGCAGCUACAUCUGUCCUAGUGCUGUCGUUCCUUUUGCCGUCAGGUAACAAACAUCUGCAUCUCCUCGUCUUCUUCUUCUACCCUCCUAUGCUCAUGGCUGUUAGAGACAUGGAUAUCUUGCAUGCGUAUUCAAAUAGGAGUUCUAGAGUAUCUAGAGAUAGAUUCUUUAUCUGCUCGUAUUAUCUCAAGUCUUGUAACAGAACUCCAUCUUGUGUACGCCACACUAGGCUGCGGCGCUGGUUCGCAGAUAGGCGGCGCCGGCUGCACGUUCUACCCCAGCAGAGUUUCCUCCUGCGAGUUGUGUAAACCUCGGUGCCAAGAGGAGGGCAACGUCAGCGGAUUCUGCGACGGUGACAAGAGGUGCAUCUGCAUACACUGCUCAUCAUCGCAUGAUAAGAGCCAGCAGAGCUCGAGCCCGUCGCCUCUGAUGCCGGCGCCGGAGGCCAGGGGUGCGUGGCCAUGAUGAAUGUUAGAGUAGAAAGAUUUCUGCGCACCACCAUGAAUGGAUUUAUAGCAGUUUGUUGGUUUUGUAUCCGGAGAAAAUAAGGUGGUGGUGUUUCGUGUGGCAAAAA
RNAcentral lists this long non-coding RNA (672 nucleotides) under Setaria viridis. Its description in RNAcentral is "long non-coding RNA (SVIR_LNC009899)". The record is from RNAcentral. Lineage: Eukaryota; Viridiplantae; Streptophyta; Magnoliopsida; Poales; Poaceae.